RNAcentral lists this small RNA (125 nucleotides) under Marmota monax (woodchuck). The record is from RNAcentral. Lineage: Eukaryota; Metazoa; Chordata; Mammalia; Rodentia; Sciuridae.
GCCGGGUGCAGUGGCACACACCUGAAAUCCCAAAGGCUCUGGAGGCUGAGACAGGAGGAUCGUGAGUUCAAAGCCAGCCUCAGCAAUGGUGAGGCGCUAAGCAACUCAGUGAGACCCUGUCUCUA